This 1356-nucleotide ribosomal RNA is filed under the name Triticum aestivum (bread wheat). Its description in RNAcentral is "partial small subunit ribosomal RNA". The record is from RNAcentral. Lineage: Eukaryota; Viridiplantae; Streptophyta; Magnoliopsida; Poales; Poaceae.
AUGGGAACACGGGUAGCGGCCAGCGGAGAACCACACCUCCCUGCCGCCNNNCAGGAUUGGAGGACUGUGGAGGAGAGAAAGAUCGACGACUGGCUCCCGGUCACAGCAUCGAGGAACGGCAAGUGGUGGUACUCGGCCUUCCACAAUGUCACAGCCAUGGUCGGUGCCGGCGUGCUCACCCUACCCUAUGCCAUGUCCGAGCUCGGCUGGGGACCCGGCGUCGCGGUGAUGACCCUGUCGUGGAUCAUGACGCUGUACACGCUGUGGCAAAUGGUGGAGAUGCACGAGAUGGUGCCCGGGAAGCGGUUCGACAGGUAUCACGAGCUGGGGCAGUACGCGUUCGGCGAGACGCUAGGGCUGUGGAUCGUCGUGCCGCAGCAGCUCGUUGUCGAGAUCAGCUUGGACAUCGUGUACAUGAUCACCGGCGGCAAGUCACUCAAGAAGUUCCACGACCUCGUCUGCGACGGCAGGUGCAAGGACAUAAAGCUUUCCUACUUCAUCAUGAUCUUUGCUUCCGCCCAGUUCGUCAUCUCCCAGCUCCCCAACUUCGACUCCAUCGCCACCAUCUCCCUUGCUGCCGCCCUCAUGUCGAUCUGCUACUCGACGAUUGCUUGGGGCGCCUCGGUGGACAAGGGGAAGGCGGACGGCGUGGACUACAGCCUACGGGCAUCCACUACCUCGGGGAUGGUGUUCGACUUCCUGGGAGGCCUGGGACAGAUGGCCUUCUCCUUCUCAGGCCAUAACGUCGUGCUGGAGAUCCAGGCCUCCAUCCCGUCCACGGCGGACACGCCGUCCAAGAAGCCCAUGUGGAAGGGCGUGAUCGUGGCCUACACCAUCGUCUUGCUCUGCUACUUCCCGGUCGCUUUCGUCGGUUAUUGGGCCUUCGGCAAUAGCGUCGACGACAACAUCCUCAUCACCCUCAACACGCCCAAGUGGCUCAUCGCCGCCGCCAACAUGAUGGUCGUCGUCCAUGUCAUUGGUAGCUACCAGGUUUAUGCGAUGCCGGUGUUCGACAUGAUGGAAAUGGUGCUGGUGAGGAAGAUGCGUUUCUCUCCCGGUUGGAAGCUCCGUUUGGUUUCUCGGAGCCUCUUUGUUGCGUUCACAAUGUUCGUAGGCAUCACCUUCCCCUUCUUCGGUGGGCUUAUCGGAUUCUUCGGCGGGCUCGCCUUUGCGCCCACAACUUAUUUCCUUCCCUGCAUCAUCUGGCUCACGGUUUACAAGCCCAGGGUAUUCAGCCUCUCAUGGUGCACCAACUGGUUCUGCAUCGUUGGUGGGGUGCUGCUGAUGGUGCUUGGGCCCAUUGGAGGGCUAAGACAGAUCAUCAUGGAGGCCAAGAUAUACCAAUUCUACUCGUAG